This 455-nucleotide ribosomal RNA is filed under the name uncultured bacterium. RNAcentral describes it as "bacterial SSU rRNA". It matches the Rfam family "Bacterial small subunit ribosomal RNA", at positions 340 to 789 of the family's 1533-position model. The record is from RNAcentral.
UACGGGAGGCAGCAGGGGGAAUAUUGCACAAUGGGCGCAAGCCUGAUGCAGCCAUGCCGCGUGUAUGAAAAAGGCCUUCGGGUUGUAAAGUACUUUCAGUCGUGAGGAAGGUGUUAAGGUUAAUAACCUUAGCAAUUGACGUUAGCGACAGAAGAAGCACCGGCUAACUCCGUGCCAGCAGCCGCGGUAAUACGGAGGGUGCGAGCGUUAAUCGGAAUUACUGGGCGUAAAGGGCACGCAGGCGGUUAAUUAAGUUGGAUGUGAAAUCCCCGGGCUUAACCUGGGAAUGGCAUUCAAGACUGGUUAGCUAGAGUCUUGUAGAGGGGGUAGAAUUCCAUGUGUAGCGGUGAAAUGCGUAGAGAUGUGGAGGAAUACCGGUGGCGAAGGCGGCCCCUGGACAAAGACUGACGCUCAUGUGCGAAAGCGUGGGGAGCAAACAGGGAUUAGAUACCCGU